CAGGUACAUUGCACAAAUGCACAAAGUAGUUCACAGCGUCGAAAUUUUGAACAAUGCAGGUAAACGCUAAUGGACUGGAGCUGAUGUGCUGAGCGUAUGUAGAUCGUAAUGUGUAUUGAGGAAUCCUGGACAAAUUUGGGCACCAUUA
Long non-coding RNA from Cydia splendana, 148 nucleotides. RefSeq lists it as uncharacterized. Lineage: Eukaryota; Metazoa; Arthropoda; Insecta; Lepidoptera; Tortricidae. The record is from RefSeq and is a predicted model, not a curated record. The transcript is spliced from 2 exons.